CUGGGGAUAGCUCAGUUGGUAGAGUGCUUGCCUCAAAUGCACAAGGCCCUGGGUUCAAUCCCCAGCCCCCCGC
This 73-nucleotide transfer RNA is filed under the name Ictidomys tridecemlineatus (thirteen-lined ground squirrel). Its description in RNAcentral is "Spermophilus tridecemlineatus (thirteen-lined ground squirrel) tRNA". It matches the Rfam family "tRNA". From Rfam's summary of the family: Transfer RNA (tRNA) molecules are approximately 80 nucleotides in length. Lineage: Eukaryota; Metazoa; Chordata; Mammalia; Rodentia; Sciuridae. The record is from Rfam by way of RNAcentral.